This 275-nucleotide ribosomal RNA is filed under the name uncultured Pseudomonas sp. Its description in RNAcentral is "partial 16S ribosomal RNA". It matches the Rfam family "Bacterial small subunit ribosomal RNA", at positions 518 to 792 of the family's 1533-position model. Lineage: Bacteria; Pseudomonadati; Pseudomonadota; Gammaproteobacteria; Pseudomonadales; Pseudomonadaceae. The record is from RNAcentral.
CGGUAAUACGAAGGGUGCAAGCGUUACUCGGAAUUACUGGGCGUAAAGCGUGCGUAGGUGGUCGUUUAAGUCCGUUGUGAAAGCCCUGGGCUCAACCUGGGAACUGCAGUGGAUACUGGGCGACUAGAGUGUGGUAGAGGGUAGCGGAAUUCCUGGUGUAGCAGUGAAAUGCGUAGAGAUCAGGAGGAACAUCCAUGGCGAAGGCAGCUACCUGGACCAACACUGACACUGAGGCACGAAAGCGUGGGGAGCAAACAGGAUUAGAUACCCUGGUA